Molecule: long non-coding RNA, 251 nt
Organism: Molossus molossus (Pallas's mastiff bat)
Lineage: Eukaryota; Metazoa; Chordata; Mammalia; Chiroptera; Molossidae
Exons: 3
Source: RefSeq, a predicted model, not a curated record
GGUAAUCAUAUCUCUGACUCAAAAGUCUCAUGACUUAGGCUAACAUCAAGGAAACGGUGGUCCAGCAACCUCUUCAGGGAGUGGUCCCUCUGUGUAAGUUGGACUUGUCAGCGUCUGUUCUUGUCUCUAAGCCAACAUCACAGAUUGAACUAGAAAGUAUAAAUACCCAGAAAAUAAUCAACUUGGAGGCAAUGUUAGAUAUCCAAGAUCCUGUGUUUAUGAUUGUGUUUAUAUUGGUAAAAGGCAAGUGG